This 408-nucleotide long non-coding RNA is filed under the name Linum usitatissimum (flax). Its description in RNAcentral is "long non-coding RNA (LUSI_LNC004336)". The record is from RNAcentral. Lineage: Eukaryota; Viridiplantae; Streptophyta; Magnoliopsida; Malpighiales; Linaceae.
AUGGAUUCUUUGACGCAGAGAGCUAACGGAAUAAGGAGGUGAACGCUAAGUCACCUGAAAAGGAACCUUAAAGUGCAAAUCAAUCGUCGCUAGGGUUGUCGACGUUCCAGCAAUAUUGUGUUGAGCAUCGUGUUAUAUGACCGUAAAUCGACCGAUCCAGGAUUGCGAUUAGGCCGACGACUCCGAGGCGUGAAUCACAUGCAGAAUGCGACUCGUAGGGUUAGGGUUUCGAAUUCCACCGGAUUAUUUGGCUAAAAUUGGAGAGGCCUACAAUCUUUCUUACAUAGAGAGAGAGAGAGAGAGAGAGAGGGAGAAAGAGAGAGAGAGAGAAUGAGAGAGGAUAGAGUUUGAUAAGUCGUUUGUCGAAAUUCGAAAGGGGGUGUGUGUAGCGUCUCGUAUCGUAUGCGC